Streptomyces roseus is the source of this 74-nucleotide transfer RNA. It matches the Rfam family "tRNA". From Rfam's summary of the family: Transfer RNA (tRNA) molecules are approximately 80 nucleotides in length. Lineage: Bacteria; Bacillati; Actinomycetota; Actinomycetes; Kitasatosporales; Streptomycetaceae. The record is from Rfam.
CGGGGUGUAGCGCAGCUUGGCAGCGCGCUUCGUUCGGGACGAAGAGGUCGUGGGUUCAAAUCCCGCCACCCCGA